UUGAUGAUUAAUUAGGGGUGAUAGGCUUUUCAAGUAUGGUGAUAUCUUGAUUUUGGUGAAAAGUAAUAGUACGGUUACGGACCAAGAGUGCUAAGAUUUUUGGUUCACAUUAAUAUUGUUUAUAGAAUAAUAUCGAUUUAAUAGUCAGUAGGUUUAUAAAUAAUUAUAAAUAUUUGAUUGUUGUGUAAAUUAACCUUAAGUAUUUAAUGAGAAUAAAUAUAUAUAAUGUUGACAUUAGUAUUACAGAGGCAUUUAUAGUGAACUCGGCCACUAACCUUCAACUGUUUACCAAAAACAUAGCCAUGUGUUACAUACGUGGUGAUUUCUGCUCCAUGAGACAUUAAAUAGCCGCAGUACCCUGACUGUGCAAAGGUAGCGUAAUCAUUUGUCUUUUAAUUGAAGUCUUGUAUGAAAGAAUAUAUGGGGGUUUUCUUUACCAUUGGUGCAAUUAGAAAUUACUAAGCGAGUGAAAAGACUCGCAAGGGUACAUUAGACGAGAAGACCCUAGAAAUUUUUAAAAAAAUUUUGUUGGGGCAACAUAGUAACGGAAUUUACAAUAUGUAUAUGAAAUUAGUUGGAUAAAUAAAAUUACUCUAGGGAUAACAGCAUAAUCAAAAACUGUUUGUGACCUCGAUGUUGGAUUAGGAAGCUGUAACUCAAAAG
This 663-nucleotide ribosomal RNA is filed under the name Ramogenia challengeri. Its description in RNAcentral is "partial large subunit ribosomal RNA". The stretch from base 276 to 427 matches the Rfam family "Archaeal large subunit ribosomal RNA", at positions 1886 to 2087 of the family's 2987-position model. Lineage: Eukaryota; Metazoa; Mollusca; Gastropoda; Stylommatophora; Camaenidae. The record is from RNAcentral.